Molecule: ribosomal RNA, 253 nt
Filed under: uncultured bacterium
Lineage: Bacteria
Description: partial 16S ribosomal RNA
Rfam family: Bacterial small subunit ribosomal RNA
Source: RNAcentral
UACGUAGGGCGCAAGCGUUGUCCGGAAUUAUUGGGCGUAAAGAGCGUGUAGGCGGCCCGAUUAGUCCGCUGUGAAAGUCCAGGGCUCAACCCUGGAAUGCCGGUGGAUACUGUCGGGCUAGAGUCCGGAAGGGGCGAGUGGAAUUCCAGGUGUAGCGGUGAAAUGCGUAGAUAUCUGGAGGAACACCGGUGGCGAAGGCGGCAUCCUGGACCAAUAUUGACGCUGAGGAGCGAAAGCCAGGGGAGCAAACGGG